RNA transcript from Cannabis sativa, 1176 nucleotides. RefSeq lists it as uncharacterized. The transcript has 6 exons. Lineage: Eukaryota; Viridiplantae; Streptophyta; Magnoliopsida; Rosales; Cannabaceae. The record is from RefSeq and is a predicted model, not a curated record.
UUUCAAUUAAUCCGUAAACGAAUCUCUCAUCACUCAACCCUCUCUCACUCACUUUCCAAUUCUAAAAACCCUAAUCGCAGGCAACAAAACAUUAAACAAACCAACUCUGUUAUGAAGAGACGCUGCUACAGAUACAAUGGCUUCCCAUCGUCGUCGUUCUUCAACCUAAACUCUGUUAAAUUUUAAUGUCACAUAUUCACUAACAAUUAGUUAUUGAUUGAUUCAUUGUAUUCUCUCCUCUGAUCCCUAAUUUACUCUCUUUCUCACUGCUAACUUCCAUAUUUUUUUCCUUUUCUCGAUUUCAUCGUUUGUUUGAUUGCAAUUUUUUUUGUAUUAUUAUUUUUGUGUUGAAUUUUUAUCUUUAUUGUUAUUGUUUUGGUCUGGGGGAAAGUUGUGUUUGGAAUCUGAGAAAAUGGGUUUGAUUUCGGUGAUUUUCAUGGGGAUGAUCUUGCGGAUUGUGUUAAUGGCUGGAUGGAGUCACAUGAUGAGGCAACGCAGCACCAAUCGAAUUGCUAAGAGAAGAAAAGCCGCCAUUGUUAUCUUCAUCAAGAAAACUGUGAGAGCUCUCGUCAAGACUUAGAUUUGGACUCACUGAUCGAACACUAAAACGCUUUCGUAAGGUGGAAUGGCAAAGAGUUACUUCAAGCAAGAGCAUGAUCUUGAUAAGAGACAGUGCAGAGGCUGCUAGAAUUAGAGAGAAAUACCCUAAUAGGAUUCCGGUGAUUGUGGAGAAAGCAGAGAGAAGUGAUAUUCCAAAUAUUGACAAGAAGAAUCACAGCUCUUCAAGAUCUUUACUGGAAUCUCAACCUUCCAUCAGAGCUGAGGGGAUGGAGAACCGAGGGUGGAGAUCCAUGUGAUGAAUCAUGGGGUUUUAGAUAAUUAUCUUAAUUGUGUGAAAUUGUAUUGCUUAUGUUGAUUAGGCACAGUUAUAUACUAUCCUAGAGCUAUGUCGUGCAUUUGAUCGGGUAUUUAAGGAGCAUUUGGAUGGAGGGUAAUAUUUUCUCACCUUUUGGUUUCCUCAACCAGGUCUUCACAUAUACAUUUAGUAUAUUUAUUAAAACAUCGUUUUAGAUUUGUAGAAUAAUUUUUGAAUACUGAACUGUUCCACCUAGAUAGAUUUUUCUGUUUUUUUCGUUUACAUAUGAAUUUGAAUUAUUCCUCCAAAUUUUCUAUAAG